UUGAACAUUAAAGCCCAGCCCAUUAAUGGAGGAGGGAGCUUUGACAAUUGACAGUUGACACGAUGACAGGGAAUGGGAAUGGCGUCGCCGCGCGCGGUGGGGUGGGGUGGGGAGCAUUCUGGAAAUAGUAAUACUAACUCCGGCGGCCUUGUUUGGAAGAGAAUAAAAAUCUCGCUACCACUCCCAAAGCGUCUCCGUCAUGUUUGGCAGAAUGAAGCUGUCUUGAAGAUUGCUCUGAAUCUUAUAUUCUUAUCUCUCAAGAACUAUACAUACUGAUGGGGGAGAAACUGGUUGAACAGAGUUCACAAACUGCCAGGGUUAGCUGACUAAAUGGAAGAUGUAAACCGGGGAUAAAAUAAUCUAUCCGUUCUACCUGCUUCAAGGAUGAUGUUAGAUGGGGCAAAUGGAUGAUGUGGUCCAUCUCCAUUUAUGAGAAAGAAUAUCAACUCUUUUGGCUUAAUAGUUGUGGAAACCGCCGAAAGCUGGAAAUCCCUCAAGUCACCUUUUGAUACAGAAGAUUGAUUUUGACGUUGAGGAAGUUAGAAUUGAGGGUUGUGUAACCCUUUGUGUAACACCACUACGAACCUUUCAAAGAUUCUUCAGCCACCCAUCUCAUCAUCUGGUUUAUCUUCUUUUACUUUCUUUCUCCACUCAGUGCAUGUUUCAUUGUUGUGGACACACGGAUCAUGCAUCAGGUUGUUGUGGCCCCAUGAGCCAAAUCUGCGGAUGAGCUGGGAAGAAGAGUGAGGAAAGAAAUGGACUUUUCAAGAAUUCAAGGGUCAUCCCCGAUUCCCCAAAA
Molecule: long non-coding RNA, 799 nt
Organism: Ipomoea triloba (trilobed morning glory)
Lineage: Eukaryota; Viridiplantae; Streptophyta; Magnoliopsida; Solanales; Convolvulaceae
Exons: 4
Source: RefSeq, a predicted model, not a curated record